ACAACUCCUGAUAUUGCCAAUAUUUAGUUCAAUUGUGAGAUUUUUCCAUGUGGUCUGUAGGGAGAUGAACCUAUGAUUUGAAUGAUACGAAUCAUUUUUGUCUGCCUAUUCGCUUUGGAGUGCCAGGAUCAGUAAGAGAAGAAACAGGUUUAAAGAUUUUUAGUUCAUCAGCAAAGAGAAGUAAAUUUAUGUCAUUAAGCACAGAAUAAAUGUCAUUUAUAAAAACAAGAAACAAAAGAUGCCCUAAGCAAGAGGCCUGUGGAACUCCCGAAAUAAGAGUGAAACCAACAGAGAAGACUACCAUAAAAACUAUAUGCCUCCAACUUUGUAAUCAAAAUAUCAUGAUGGACAGAGUCAAAUGCUUUU
Long non-coding RNA from Cimex lectularius (bed bug), 366 nucleotides. RefSeq lists it as uncharacterized. The transcript has 3 exons. NCBI's taxonomy places the organism in Eukaryota, Metazoa, Arthropoda, Insecta, Hemiptera, Cimicidae. The record is from RefSeq and is a predicted model, not a curated record.